CUACUGGGGUUUCUAAUCCCGUUCGCUCCCCUGGCUUUCGCGUCUCAGCGUCAGAAAACGUCCAGGACCUCGCUUUCGCCACGGGCGUUCCUUCCGAUCUCAACGCAUUUCACCGCUCCACCGGAAGUUCCAGGUCCCCCUACGUCCCUCCAGGAAGGUCGUAUCCGCGCCCGUUCCCCGGUUGAGCCGGGGGCUUUCAACGUCGGACGUGCCCUCCCGCCUACACGCGCUUUAAGCCCAGUGAUUCCGAAUAACGUUCGCACGGUUCGUCUUACCGCGGCUGCUGGCAC
This 290-nucleotide ribosomal RNA is filed under the name uncultured Planctomycetaceae bacterium. RNAcentral describes it as "partial 16S ribosomal RNA". The record is from RNAcentral. Lineage: Bacteria; Pseudomonadati; Planctomycetota; Planctomycetia; Planctomycetales; Planctomycetaceae.